Molecule: small nucleolar RNA, 108 nt
Organism: Mus pahari (shrew mouse)
Lineage: Eukaryota; Metazoa; Chordata; Mammalia; Rodentia; Muridae
Product: small nucleolar RNA SNORA38
Exons: 1
Source: RefSeq, a predicted model, not a curated record
UUCUCCUGCAAAGGCGUGGUUUUGGUUCCCUGUCCUUGGACAGGGAAGAAUUGGAGACAAAGAAAUGUGGUGGAUUUGGAAAGGUCUAGGACCAGCUUGCCCACAGAG